Molecule: ribosomal RNA, 253 nt
Filed under: uncultured bacterium
Lineage: Bacteria
Description: partial 16S ribosomal RNA
Rfam family: Bacterial small subunit ribosomal RNA
Source: RNAcentral
UACAGAGGGUGCGAGCGUUGUUCGGAAUUAUUGGGCGUAAAGCGCAUGUAGGCGGCUUGUUAAGUCGCGUGUGAAAGCUCCAGGCUCAACCUGGAAAGUGCGCGCGAAACUGGCGAGCUUGAGUGCCGGAGGGGGUGGCGGAAUUCCCGGUGUAGAGGUGAAAUUCGUAGAUAUCGGGAGGAACACCAGAGGCGAAGGCGGCCACCUGGACGGACACUGACGCUGAGACGCGAAAGCGUGGGGAGCAAACAGG